GGACGAACGCUGGCGGCGUGCUUAACACAUGCAAGUCGAACGGAAAGGCCCUGCUUUUGUGGGGUGCUCGAGUGGCGAACGGGUGAGUAACACGUGAGUAACCUGCCCUUGACUUUGGGAUAACUUCAGGAAACUGGGGCUAAUACCGGAUAGGAGCUCCUGCUGCAUGGUGGGGGUUGGAAAGUUUCGGCGGUUGGGGAUGGACUCGCGGCUUAUCAGCUUGUUGGUGGGGUAGUGGCUUACCAAGGCUUUGACGGGUAGCCGGCCUGAGAGGGUGACCGGCCACAUGGGGACUGAGAUACGGCCCAGACGCCUACGGGAGGCAGCAGGGGGGAAUAUUGCACAAUGGGCGGAAGCCUGAUGCAGCAACGCCGCGUGCGGGAUGACGGCCUUCGGGUGGUAAACCGCUUUCGCCUGUGACGAAGCGGGAGUGACGGUAAUGGGUAAAGAAGCACCGGCUAACUACGUG
RNAcentral lists this ribosomal RNA (469 nucleotides) under uncultured bacterium. RNAcentral describes it as "partial 16S ribosomal RNA". It matches the Rfam family "Bacterial small subunit ribosomal RNA", at positions 27 to 507 of the family's 1533-position model. The record is from RNAcentral.